UGGACACACCCGUCUUUUAUUGUUGUAAUUUUCUUUUUUUCUUUUUUCUUUUUUUUUUGGGGUAGUUGUUAUCUAGGGAAUUAGUUUUAAGUAUGAAAGAUCUUUUCUCCUAAAAUUAAUGCACAAUUUUUUGUUGAGCUGGAGUGUUGCAAAGAAAUUAUCAAGUCAUGUAAGGCUGAUAUUUUUAUUCUUAAUGCUUUGUGCAUGCGACGGAGGCAUCGGAAUUUGGUGAGGAGAAUAGUUGUAAAGGCUCCAUCAAUAGAGGGAAUGGAAGGUGAGGGAAGAUUAAUCGAAUGAUCAACCUUUUGGUUGAGGAAAAAGUUCUCCUUUGCUAAACUUUUGAUUGGGGUGAGGAAAAGGUUCCCCUUUGCUUGACUGGGUUAAGUUUAUGAACUUAUCUAUUUUUUGGAUGAUGUUCUCUUUGCUAAUUAUUUUUAUUAUUAUUUCUUGUUUUUGGGAAAAAGUAAAAAAAUUAGCAGUUUUUUUGCUUUUUUUGUUUGCAUUACUUCUAAAUAGUUUGAAUGCUCUCAAUUGGAUCUUAGUUGUGAGUCUAUGAAAUAUUUCUUUUGAGAUUGUGGUUUGAA
Molecule: non-coding RNA, 584 nt
Organism: Camellia sinensis
Lineage: Eukaryota; Viridiplantae; Streptophyta; Magnoliopsida; Ericales; Theaceae
Source: RefSeq, a predicted model, not a curated record